RNAcentral lists this ribosomal RNA (253 nucleotides) under uncultured bacterium. RNAcentral's name for it is "partial 16S ribosomal RNA". It matches the Rfam family "Bacterial small subunit ribosomal RNA", at positions 524 to 776 of the family's 1533-position model. The record is from RNAcentral.
UACGUAGGGUGCAAGCGUUGUCCGGAAUUAUUGGGCGUAAAGGGCUCGUAGGCGGUCUGUCACGUCGGGAGUGAAAACUCGGGGCUUAACCCCGAGCCUGCUUCCGAUACGGGCAGACUAGAGGUAUGCAGGGGAGAAUGGAAUUCCUGGUGUAGCGGUGAAAUGCGCAGAUAUCAGGAGGAACACCGGUGGCGAAGGCGGCUCUCUGGGCAUUACCUGACGCUGAGGAGCGAAAGUGUGGGGAGCGAACAGG